ACACGUUGCUCCACACAAUUCUUGAGUGCUAAAUUUCCACGCUCCAUAACUUGGUCCCGUAUUUGACGUUUAUUUCCAGUUAAAUCAUGCCCACCUUGACCAGUAUAAACAACAUCAUCUGCAUUAUCCAGAUCAUCCUCAUACAUUCCUGACAAAACAAUUGCUACCGCAAGAGGUAAUGUAUAGUUACCAUACUCCUUGCUGUAGGACAUGCCCAUGUAAUCA
Molecule: unclassified non-coding RNA, 225 nt
Filed under: Hevea brasiliensis (rubber tree)
Lineage: Eukaryota; Viridiplantae; Streptophyta; Magnoliopsida; Malpighiales; Euphorbiaceae
Source: RNAcentral